GACGAACGCUGGCGGCGUGCUUAACACAUGCAAGUCGAACGGAAAGGCCCUGCUUUUGUGGGGUGCUCGAGUGGCGAACGGGUGAGUAACACGUGAGUAACCUGCGCUUGACUGUGGGAUAACUUCUGGAAACUCGGGCUAAAACCGGGUAGGAGCUUCUGCUGCAUGGUGGUGGUUGGAGAGAUGCGGCGGAUGGGGCUGGACUGGCGGCUUAUCAGCGUGCUGGUGGGGUAUGGUCUGACCAAGGCUUUGACGGGUAGCCGACCUGAGAGGGUGAGCGGCGCCCUUGGGCCUGAGAGACGGCGCAGAAGCCAACCGGACGCAGUAGAGGGGAAUAUUGCGCAGUAGCCCGAAGCCAGUUGAAGAGACGCCGCGUGCGGGAUACUCGGUUUCGGGUUGUAAACAACUUUCGCCUGUGCUGAAGGGUGAGUGACGGUAAUGAGUAAGGAAGCAACGGCUAACUACGUG
This 468-nucleotide ribosomal RNA is filed under the name uncultured bacterium. RNAcentral describes it as "partial 16S ribosomal RNA". It matches the Rfam family "Bacterial small subunit ribosomal RNA", at positions 28 to 507 of the family's 1533-position model. The record is from RNAcentral.